GGGGAAUAUUGCACAAUGGGCGCAAGCCUGAUGCAGCCAUGCCGCGUGUAUGAAGAAGGCCUUCGGGUUGUAAAGUACUUUCAGUCGUGAGGAAGGUAGUGUAGUUAAUAGCUGCAUUAUUUGACGUUAGCGACAGAAGAAGCACCGGCUAACUCCGUGCCAGCAGCCGCGGUAAUACGGAGGGUGCGAGCGUUAAUCGGAAU
Molecule: ribosomal RNA, 203 nt
Filed under: Vibrio parahaemolyticus
Lineage: Bacteria; Pseudomonadati; Pseudomonadota; Gammaproteobacteria; Vibrionales; Vibrionaceae
Description: partial 16S ribosomal RNA
Rfam family: Bacterial small subunit ribosomal RNA
Source: RNAcentral